GAGUCAACCCGGCUGCUAAACUCGCACAAAAGCCAGCGCAACGCGCGCAAGUCGCAAGCGAGGGCGCGCGCGGUUUCCCCACUUCCACACCGCGCCACCGCCAGUACCGCGCCGAGACCGGCGGGAUGGACACGCUGCGAAAGCGGGCGCUGUCGAUAGACACCACGUCUGCGGCGGCCGCGGGGACGGACCAGCGGGAGAUCAAGGCGAGCCGGGAGGGGGAGGACGAGGGCGCUGUGGUCGAGGAGGAGCCGGUGAGCCCGACGGGGCGUCUGUUCCGGGAGCCGCACUUCAGGUGCCACAUCGUCUCCGUCUUCGGUCUCGGCGCGCCGGUUGACCUGCCGGCCAUGCGGGCUGGGGUCGCCGCCACGCUCGCCCGCCACCCGCGGUUCUCCAGCGUCCAGGUGUUGGACGAGUUGGACAAGAACGCGAGGCCCAAAUGGGUCCGGACCACUGUGAACCUGGACGACCACAUCGUCGUCCCGGCGCUGAACCCCGCCGCAACGUCGGCCAACCCCGACAAGGCUCUGGAGGACUACGUGUCAUCGCUGUCCGCGCGCCCCAUGGACCACUCCCGCCCGCUGUGGGAGCUCCACGUCCUCGACUUCCCCACCGCCGAGUCCGCCGCCGCGCUCGCGCUCCGCGUGCACCACUCCCUCGGCGACGGCGUCUCGCUGCUCUCCCUCUUCAUGGCCUGCACCCGCAGCGCCGCCAACCCGGACGCGCUGCCGUCCCUGCCGCCCGCGGGCCGCGCGGGCCCCGUGUACGCGCUGCCGCGGCCUCAGCUGGCCGCAGGCGCGCUCGCGGUGCUGGCCGUGUGGGUCCUGUCGUUCCUCGUGCUCGCAUGGCUCACGUUGGUGGACGUGGUGCGCUUCUUCGCGACGGCGGCGUCGCUCGUGGGCGACGCGCGCACGCCGCUCAAGGGCGCGGAGGGCGUCGAGUUCCGGUCCAAGCGCUUCGUCAACCGCACGCUCAGCCUCGACGACGUCAAGUACGUCAAGAACGCCAUGAGCUGCACUGUAAAUGAUGUUCUGCUUGGAAUAACCUCUGCCGCGUUGUCUCGGUAUUAUUUCCGGAAAACAGGUGAAAGCGACAGGAAGAACAUCACGGUGCGAUCCACUCUUCUUGUCAACUUACGGCCGACGCCUGGCCUACAUACAUUGGCAAGCAUGAUGGAGUCCGGUAAGGACAACGGCGCGAGAUGGGGAAACCAGAUCGGAUACAUGAUAAUCCCGUUCCACCUGGCCAAGCACGAUGACCCCAUCGAGUACGUCCGGAAGGCGAAGAAGGUCGCGCGCAGGAAGAAGAGCUCCAUGGAGUCGGUCUUCACUUACUGGAGCGCGGAUAUGAUUGUAAAACUUUUCGGCAUCAAGGCAGCAGCUGCGCUCUGUUACGGCAUGUUCAAGCACACGACCCUGUCCUUCUCCAGCAUGGUCGGACCAACCGAGCAGGUGCUGUUCUGCGGCAAUCCGAUCGUCUACAUUGCCCCCGGUACCUUCGGGCACCCACAUGCCCUGACUGUGCAUUACCAGAGUUACAGUAACAAGAUCAAGAUAGUCCUCUCAGUAGAUGAGGCGCAAUUUCCAGAUUCUCAUCAGCUUCUGGAUGAUUUCGUUGAGUCCCUCAGGCUCAUUCGGGAUGCAGCUUCAAGAAAAUCAGAGGAUACACAGAAUGGCGUUUCCAGUAGAACAUAGACAGGUCCCAGGUGUAUAUAUAUACCUUUUUCUGCGAAAAGUUGUAUACAUAUAGGUCUCAUGAAACUUUUGCCUGGCUUGAUAGGAUAGGACAUGGACAACUGCAGGUUUACAUAAUCCCACAACUUGGGUGAAUGCAGCGUGAAGGCAAUAAUAUUUCCUCUCCACUAAACCUCAUGUUGGCUUACGCACGUGGGCCACUUGUAGUUGUAGCUACUAGCUAGCACUUUUGAUGACAUCGAAUAACAAAACCUCCCACCGACAGAAGAAAGCUUCGUCGCCCUCUGAACUUAGAAAAUGGAGCAAAACACAGUUAGAUGCUACCUACGGACACAUCGUAUUGGUUCCAGGCAGAUUUUGCUGAGUAGUAUCGAGCUGAAUCUGCAUACAUGAUCUUAGUUGCAACUCGUAUCUUUCCAGGGGAUCAAGGAAGUAAUCAAUAUAAAUACAGGCAUGCAUUUAGAUA
Molecule: RNA transcript, 2160 nt
Organism: Phragmites australis (common reed)
Lineage: Eukaryota; Viridiplantae; Streptophyta; Magnoliopsida; Poales; Poaceae
Gene name: wax ester synthase/diacylglycerol acyltransferase 11-like
Exons: 8
Source: RefSeq, a predicted model, not a curated record